This 372-nucleotide ribosomal RNA is filed under the name uncultured bacterium. RNAcentral describes it as "bacterial SSU rRNA". It matches the Rfam family "Bacterial small subunit ribosomal RNA", at positions 30 to 410 of the family's 1533-position model. The record is from RNAcentral.
AUUGAACGCUGGCGGCAGGCCUAACACAUGCAAGUCGAGCGGGGUUUUUCGGACCUUAGCGGCGGACGGGUGAGUAAUGCGUAGGAAGCUACCCGAUAGAGGGGGUUACCAGUUGGAAACGACUGUUAAUACCCGCAUAAUGUCUACGGACCAAAGUGUGGGACCUUCGGGCCACAUGCUAUCGGAUGCGCCUACGUGGGAUUAGCUAGUUGGUGAGGUAAUGGCUCACCAAGGCGACGAUCUCUAGCUGGUUUGAGAGGAUGAUCAGCCACACUGGAACUGAGACACGGUCCAGACUCCUACGGGAGGCAGCAGUGGGGAAUAUUGGGACAAUGGGCGCAAGCCUGAUCCAGCCAUGCCGCGUGUGUGAAG